AUUGAACGCUGGCGGCAGGCCUAACACAUGCAAGUCGAGCGGAUGAAGGGAGCUUGCUCCUGGAUUCAGCGGCGGACGGGUGGGUAAUUCCUAGGAAUCUGCCUGGUCUUUGGGGAUAACGUCCGUAAACGGGCGCUAAUACCGCAUACGUUCUGAGGGAGAAAGUGGGGGAUCUUCGGACCUCACGCUAUCAGAUGAGCCUAGGUCGGAUUAGCUAGUUGGUGGGGUAAAGGCCUACCAAGGCGACGAUCCGUAACUGGUCUGAGAGGAUGAUCAGUCACACUGGAACUGAGACACGGUCCAGACUCCUACGGGAGGCAGCAGUGGGGAAUAUUGCGCAAUGGGCGAAAGCCUGAUCCAGCAAUGCCGCGUGAGUGAAGAAGGUCUUCGGAUUGUAAAGCACUUUAAGUAGGGAGGAAGGACAGUAAGAUAAUACCUUGCUGUUUUGACGUUACCAACAGAGUAAGCACCGGCUAACUUCGUG
RNAcentral lists this ribosomal RNA (484 nucleotides) under uncultured bacterium. RNAcentral's name for it is "partial 16S ribosomal RNA". It matches the Rfam family "Bacterial small subunit ribosomal RNA", at positions 30 to 507 of the family's 1533-position model. The record is from RNAcentral.